AGCCCCGAGGUGUUGUCACAUGCAGGAUUGCAAAUCCUGAGUCGUCGUUUAACCCCGACCGGGGCUU
Molecule: transfer RNA, 67 nt
Filed under: Pseudolabrus eoethinus
Lineage: Eukaryota; Metazoa; Chordata; Actinopteri; Labriformes; Labridae
Description: tRNA-Cys
Source: RNAcentral